UUGAAGGUUUUACAGUAUGGCCCUGACAAUUAAUCAAGUUUUUAAGUUUGAUACAUCAUCCAUCAAUGGAAACUGAUGCUCUUCACAUAUUCCUUUAGAUUGCUAUUAUGCCAUUGAAGAACCUAGAAAAUCAAUAGAGCUGGAUUCUUAAUGACCAGCAAAGUGAAAUUGCCCUGUUAGUAAGUUACUAAUAAAUAAUCAAACCUAGAUUACCAUAAAUUUCAAUUAUUGACCAAUAAAAUACCUUGAACUGAUUAGAACCUAUACUUAAGAGUCUUAAACCAAUAUUCACAUCAGCUAGUAAUAUUUAACAUUCAAAUCCUUGCAUUCAACCAACCUAAACUCAUUUAACAAUUAUUUCUUAUGUGAUAAUCAUUAUAGGCCAAUGUAAGCCAAGUAGGUAACUGUUGAGUCAUUUCCAGAAGCCCUAGGACAAGAGCUUUCUUACAUUUCAAAUUUGGAAAUAGAGAGAUUUGGCAUUAUUUCUCAUUACCCAAUCCCAAAAAAAUAAACAUACUCAAAAUAAAAUAUAAAAUAUCCUUUUGUGUAAAACAACAUCCAACAUAGUUUACUAGAAAUCAAAUUACUUGCACAUUCCAUUAUAUCUUUACAUAGAAGGAAGACAAUAA
This 629-nucleotide unclassified non-coding RNA is filed under the name Hevea brasiliensis (rubber tree). The record is from RNAcentral. Lineage: Eukaryota; Viridiplantae; Streptophyta; Magnoliopsida; Malpighiales; Euphorbiaceae.